GACAGAGGUGCCGAGCGUUAGGCGGAAUCACUGGGCUUAAAGCGUGUGUAGGCGGACCGUUAAGUACCUUGUGAAAUCCCACGGCUCAACCGUGGAACGGCUGGGUAUACUGGCGGUCUUGAGCCAGCUAGGGGCUACCGGAACAAAUGGUGGAGCGGUGAAAUGCGUAGAUAUCAUUUGGAACGCCAAUGGUGAAAACAGGUAGCUGGGGCUGUGCUGACACUGAGACACGAAAGCCAGGGGAGCAAACGGG
This 253-nucleotide ribosomal RNA is filed under the name uncultured bacterium. RNAcentral's name for it is "partial 16S ribosomal RNA". It matches the Rfam family "Bacterial small subunit ribosomal RNA", at positions 524 to 776 of the family's 1533-position model. The record is from RNAcentral.